RNAcentral lists this ribosomal RNA (254 nucleotides) under uncultured bacterium. RNAcentral's name for it is "partial 16S ribosomal RNA". It matches the Rfam family "Bacterial small subunit ribosomal RNA", at positions 524 to 776 of the family's 1533-position model. The record is from RNAcentral.
CACGUAGGGGGCAAGCGUUGUCCGGAUUUAUUGGGCGUAAAGAGCUCGUAGGUGGUUCGGUAAGUCAGGUGUGAAACCUCCAGGCUCAACCUGGAGACGCCACUUGAUACUGCUGUGACUGGAGUCCGGUAGGGGAGCGUGGAAUUCCUGGUGUAGCGGUGAAAUGCGCAGAUAUCAGGAGGAACACCAAUAGCGAAGGCAGCUCGCUGGGACGGUACUGACGCUAAGGCGCGAAAGCGUGGGGAGCGAACAGG